UUAAGUUCUGUCACAGCAGCUUUCUACAUGCUGCUUUUUAUAGAUUGAUGUCCAUUCCUCAUUAGCCAUUUAAGCAACCGGCACAAAUUCAGCUUUGUCUUGCUGGUAAUGCAUAGCCAAACAUAAGCAUACACAAUCAAUUGUACAGUCAAAAUUAUUUUAAAAAAUAAAUAUGCAGAAAAUGUCGCCAAAUACCUAUGAGUGUCGGCUUGUUGUUUAUUUUUGUGCAAAUUUCUAAUCAAGGUAGAAAUAAAAAUAAAUGUAAAAAUGUAUCCAAAAAUAUGAAAUCAUUUAAAAAUCUUAUGGACUCAUGACUUGAAGAACAUUCUUGAAAUAGCUGGUGAUUAUUGUGGAAGUAUAAACGGAGGUUACUAAGAGUUUUUGAUCUAAUUUUGGUAGUUAAGAGACUUACCAGUCACUGGAGAACAUG
This is a non-coding RNA of Pelobates cultripes (western spadefoot toad), 430 nucleotides long. NCBI's taxonomy places the organism in Eukaryota, Metazoa, Chordata, Amphibia, Anura, Pelobatidae. The record is from the annotation of a GenBank genome assembly.